RNAcentral lists this ribosomal RNA (501 nucleotides) under uncultured bacterium. RNAcentral describes it as "partial 16S ribosomal RNA". It matches the Rfam family "Bacterial small subunit ribosomal RNA", at positions 30 to 523 of the family's 1533-position model. The record is from RNAcentral.
AUUGAACGCUGGCGGCAGGCUUAACACAUGCAAGUCGAGCGGAGAGAGGUAGCUUGCUGCUGAUCUUAGCGGCGGACGGGUGAGUAAUGCUUAGGAAUCUGCCUAUUAGUGGGGGACAACAUUUCGAAAGGAAUGCUAAUACCGCAUACGUCCUACGGGAGAAAGCAGGGGAUCUUCGGACCUUGCGCUAAUAGAUGAGCCUAAGUCGGAUUAGCUAGUUGGUGGGGUAAAGGCCUACCAAGGCGACGAUCUGUAGCGGGUCUGAGAGGAUGAUCCGCCACACUGGGACUGAGACACGGCCCAGACUCCUACGGGAGGCAGCAGUGGGGAAUAUUGGACAAUGGGCGGAAGCCUGAUCCAGCCAUGCCGCGUGUGUGAAGAAGGCCUUAUGGUUGUAAAGCACUUUAAGCGAGGAGGAGGCUACUUUAGUUAAUACCUAGAGAUAGUGGACGUUACUCGCAGAAUAAGCACCGGCUAACUCUGUGCCAGCCGCCGCGGUAA